RNAcentral lists this ribosomal RNA (484 nucleotides) under uncultured bacterium. RNAcentral's name for it is "partial 16S ribosomal RNA". It matches the Rfam family "Bacterial small subunit ribosomal RNA", at positions 30 to 507 of the family's 1533-position model. The record is from RNAcentral.
AUUGAACGCUGGCGGCAGGCCUAACACAUGCAAGUCGAGCGGAUGAAGGGAGCUUGCUCCUGGAUUCAGCGGCGGACGGGUGAGUAAUGCCUAGGAAUCUGCCUGGUAGUGGGGGAUAACGUCCGGAAACGGGCGCUAAUACCGCAUACGUCCUGAGGGAGAAAGUGGGGGAUCUUCGGACCUCACGCUAUCAGAUGAGCCUAGGUCGGAUUAGCUAGUUGGUGGGGUAAAAGCCUACCAAGGCGACGAUCCGUAACUGGUCUGAGAGGAUGAUCAGUCACCCUGGAACUUAGACACGGUCCAGACUCCUACGGGACGCAGCAGUGGGGAAUAUUGGACAAUGGGCGAAAGCCUGAUCCAGCCAUGCCGCGUGUGUGAAGAAGGUCUUCGGAUUGUAAAGCACUUUAAGUUGGGAGGAAGGGCAGUAAGUUAAUACCUUGCUGUUUUGACGUUACCAACAGAAUAAGCACCGGCUAACUUCGUG